UAAAAGAUCUUAUUUUUAGUACCCCCUGCUCAAUGAUAAUUAAAUAGCCGCAGUUUCCUGUGCUAAGGUAGCAUAAUCAUUUGCCUAAUAAUUAUAGGAUAGAAUGAAAGGUGUCACAUGUUAUCUUCUUUAUUAAAAAGGUUAUUUAAAUUUAAUCUUUAAGUAAAAAUACUUAAAUCAUUAGGGGGACGACAAGACCCUGACGAACUUUACUCUAUGUUUAGCUGGGGCGGCAAAAAAUUAAACCUUUUCUUCCCAUCUCCCUACAAAACCUUAAGAUUGAUAAUCAAGUUACCGCAGGGAUAACAGCAUAAUUCUCUCCCGAAGACCUUAUACAAGAGAGUAUUUAUGACCUCGAUGUUGAAUUAAAAAUCUCCUAGAGGCAGUACUCUAGAAAGAAAGUCUGUUCGACUUUUAAAUAUUU
Molecule: ribosomal RNA, 424 nt
Filed under: Aname sp. MYG462
Lineage: Eukaryota; Metazoa; Arthropoda; Arachnida; Araneae; Anamidae
Description: partial 16S ribosomal RNA
Rfam family: Archaeal large subunit ribosomal RNA
Source: RNAcentral